Molecule: ribosomal RNA, 504 nt
Filed under: uncultured bacterium
Lineage: Bacteria
Description: partial 16S ribosomal RNA
Rfam family: Bacterial small subunit ribosomal RNA
Source: RNAcentral
GACGAACGCUGGCGGCGUGCCUAAUACAUGCAAGUAGAACGCACAGUUUAUACCGUAGCUUGCUACACCAUAAACUGUGAGUUGCGAACGGGUGAGUAACGCGUAGGUAACCUGCCUGGUAGCGGGGGAUAACUAUUGGAAACGAUAGCUAAUACCGCAUAAUAUUAAUUAUUGCAUGAUAAUUGAUUGAAAGAUGCAAUUGCAUCACUACCAGAUGGACCUGCGUUGUAUUAGCUAGUAGGUGAGGUAACGGCUCACCUAGGCGACGAUACAUAGCCGACCUGAGAGGGUGAUCGGCCACACUGGGACUGAGACACGGCCCAGACUCCUACGGGAGGCAGCAGUAGGGAAUCUUCGGCAUGGACGAAAGUCUGACCGAGCAACGCCGCGUGAGUGAAGAAGGUUUUCGGAUCGUAAAGCUCUGUUGUAAGAGAAGAACGGGUGUGAGAGUGGAAAGUUCACACUGUGACGGUAUCUUACCAGAAAGGGACGGCUAACUACGUG